This 860-nucleotide ribosomal RNA is filed under the name Salmonella enterica subsp. enterica serovar Enteritidis. RNAcentral describes it as "partial 23S ribosomal RNA". It matches the Rfam family "Bacterial large subunit ribosomal RNA", at positions 161 to 923 of the family's 2925-position model. Lineage: Bacteria; Pseudomonadati; Pseudomonadota; Gammaproteobacteria; Enterobacterales; Enterobacteriaceae. The record is from RNAcentral.
AAUCCAUAGGUUAAUGAGGCGAACCGGGGGAACUGAAACAUCUAAGUACCCCGAGGAAAAGAAAUCAACCGAGAUUCCCCCAGUAGCGGCGAGCGAACGGGGAGGAGCCCAGAGCCUGAAUCAGCAUGUGUGUUAGUGGAAGCGUCUGGAAAGGCGCGCGAUACAGGGUGACAGCCCCGUACACAAAAGCGCAUGUGCUGUGAGCUCGAUGAGUAGGGCGGGACACGUGGUAUCCUGUCUGAAUAUGGGGGGACCAUCCUCCAAGGCUAAAUACUCCUGACUGACCGAUAGUGAACCAGUACCGUGAGGGAAAGGCGAAAAGAACCCCGGCGAGGGGAGUGAAAAAGAACCUGAAACCGUGUACGUACAAGCAGUGGGAGCCCCACCACCAAAGCAUUUGCUGUACCGCGUUGACGGAGCGAAGCGACGUCAAACCGAUAAAACAGCAGUGUAAAGUGAGCCGCAGGGCGCUUUGCGCGACAGCGCAAAGGCAGGCGGUUUCGCGUAGCGAAAGCGAAUGCUUUGGGGUGGGGUGACUGCGUACCUUUUGUAUAAUGGGUCAGCGACUUAUAUUCUGUAGCAAGGUUAACCGAAUAGGGGAGCCGGAGGGAAACCGAGUCUUAAUUGGGCGUUAAGUUGCAGGGUAUAGACCCGAAACCCGGUGAUCUAGCCAUGGGCAGGUUGAAGGUUGGGUAACACUAACUGGAGGACCGAACCGACUAAUGUUGAAAAAUUAGCGGAUGACCUGUGGCUGGGGGUGAAAGGCCAAUCAAACCGGGAGAUAGCUGGUUCUCCCCGAAAGCUAUUUAGGUAGCGCCUCGUGAAUUCAUCUCCGGGGGUAGAGCACUGUUUCGGCUAGG